AAGGCUUGACCUCAAAUCAGGUAGGACUACCCGCUGAACUUAAAGCAUAUCA
Molecule: ribosomal RNA, 52 nt
Filed under: Pisolithus tinctorius
Lineage: Eukaryota; Fungi; Basidiomycota; Agaricomycetes; Boletales; Pisolithaceae
Description: partial 28S ribosomal RNA
Source: RNAcentral